GAACUGAAGAGUUUGAUCAUGGCUCAGAUUGAACGCUGGCGGCAGGCCUAACACAUGCAAGUCGAGCGGAUGAAGGGAGCUUGCUCCUGGAUUCAGCGGCGGACGGGUGAGUAAUGCCUAGGAAUCUGCCUGGUAGUGGGGGAUAACGUCCGGAAACGGGCGCUAAUACCGCAUACGUCCUGAGGGAGAAAGUGGGGGAUCUUCGGACCUCACGCUAUCAGAUGAGCCUAGGUCGGAUUAGCUAGUUGGUGGGGUAAAGG
This 260-nucleotide ribosomal RNA is filed under the name Pseudomonas aeruginosa. Its description in RNAcentral is "partial 16S ribosomal RNA". It matches the Rfam family "Bacterial small subunit ribosomal RNA", at positions 1 to 263 of the family's 1533-position model. RNAcentral also lists the same sequence under 1 other name. Lineage: Bacteria; Pseudomonadati; Pseudomonadota; Gammaproteobacteria; Pseudomonadales; Pseudomonadaceae. The record is from RNAcentral.